This 25-nucleotide transfer RNA is filed under the name Caulanthus lasiophyllus. RNAcentral's name for it is "partial tRNA-Phe". Lineage: Eukaryota; Viridiplantae; Streptophyta; Magnoliopsida; Brassicales; Brassicaceae. The record is from RNAcentral.
GCCGGGAUAGCUCAGUUGGAAGACA